GAGAAGGAAAAAUCACCUUGGUAUGGUGGAAUGGAGGUAACUUCUUUAACAGCGAACCAGUAUAAAAAUAACUUUGUUAGUUUUUUUGUUCGUAUUAUUACUUGAUUGAGUUGGUUUUGAAAACAAACUUUUGUUUUAGAAAUCCAAUUCAAACCCUUAUUUCUUGUGUUUCUUGCCACCUUCACCGUGAUGAAAAGUUUCUUAAUAAAUAAAAAACAUGCGCCAACAAAAUUGUUAUAUAACGACAGUGGAAAAAUGGCCAUUGUAAU
RNAcentral lists this long non-coding RNA (269 nucleotides) under Lathyrus oleraceus (garden pea). RNAcentral's name for it is "Pisum sativum (pea) long non-coding RNA (PSAT_LNC007242)". Lineage: Eukaryota; Viridiplantae; Streptophyta; Magnoliopsida; Fabales; Fabaceae. The record is from RNAcentral.